CCUACGGGUGGCAGCAGUGAGGAAUAUUGGUCAAUGGACGAGAGUCUGAACCAGCCAAGUAGCGUGAAGGAUGACUGCCCUAUGGGUUGUAAACUUCUUUUAUAUGGGAAUAAAAUGUUCCACGUGUGGGAUUUUGUAUGUACCAUAUGAAUAAGGAUCGGCUAACUCCGUGCCAGCAGCCGCGGUAAUACGGAGGAUCCGAGCGUUAUCCGGAUUUAUUGGGUUUAAAGGGAGCGUAGGUGGAUUUUUAAGUCAGUUGUGAAAGUUUUCGGCUCAACCGUAAAAUUGCAGUUGAAACUGGCAGUCUUGAGUACAGUAGAGGUGGGCGGAAUUCGUGGUGUAGCGGUGAAAUGCUUAGAUAUCACGAAGAACUCCGAUUGCGAAGGCAGUUCACUGGACUGCAACUGACACUGAGGCUCGAAAGUGUGGGUAUCAAACAGGACUAGAUACCCCAGUAGUC
This 460-nucleotide ribosomal RNA is filed under the name uncultured bacterium. RNAcentral's name for it is "partial 16S ribosomal RNA". It matches the Rfam family "Bacterial small subunit ribosomal RNA", at positions 338 to 795 of the family's 1533-position model. The record is from RNAcentral.